Molecule: unclassified non-coding RNA, 347 nt
Filed under: soil metagenome
Description: partial contains 5.8S ribosomal RNA, internal transcribed spacer 2, and large subunit ribosomal RNA
Rfam family: 5.8S ribosomal RNA (bases 1-120)
Source: RNAcentral
GAUGAAGAACGCAGCAAAAUGCGAUAAGUAAUGUGAAUUGCAGAAUUCAGUGAAUCAUCGAAUCUUUGAACGCACAUUGCGCCCGCUGGUAUUCCGGCGGGCAUGCCUGUUCGAGCGUCAUUUCAACCCUCAAGCCCCCCGGGUUUGGUGUUGGGGAUCGGCUCUGCCUCACGGCGGUGCCGCCCCCGAAAUACAUUGGCGGUCUCGCUGCAGCCUCCAUUGCGUAGUAGCUAACACCUCGCAACUGGAACGCGGCGCGGCCAUGCCGUAAAACACCAACUUCUGAAUGUUGACCUCGGAUCAGGUAGGAAUACCCGCUGAACUUAAGCAUAUCAAUAAGCGGAGGA